This 416-nucleotide long non-coding RNA is filed under the name Crocodylus porosus (Australian saltwater crocodile). Its description in RNAcentral is "lncRNA (ENSCPRG00005005842.1)". The record is from RNAcentral. Lineage: Eukaryota; Metazoa; Chordata; Crocodylia; Crocodylidae.
GGGUAAUGAGAAGUUCCCCGUUAACUUGAGAGGAUACCAACAUUUAAAGUUAUGCCUUUGCCAGAGAGGCCAAACAGUCCAUUUCAAGCCUUUGUAUGGAAAAAAAACCAAAACAAAAACCCCACCACAAACCUCUGAUAUGCAACAUACUCCAGACUUAUUUGCAAAUACGCAUAAGAUGUAUGGAGAACUGAGGAUCCUUCCCUUCCUGAGCAAUGACUGAAAUGGCUGCCCCAUAAACCUUACCUUUUUUCAUACGGUGGCUCAGCUUCAGCAGAAGUGAAGAAAGUAUUCUGCCCAGCCUAGCAUUAGCCUGGUGGUUAGGGCACACUCCUGGGAGGUAAGAAAUGGAAGUUUGAAUUGCCUCAGGUUGGGGGAAGGACUGUAAUCUAAGUGUCUAAUUUCUCUUGAAGAUA